UGGGGAAUAUUGCACAAUGGGCGAAAGCCUGAUGCAGCAACGCCGCGUGAGUGAUGAAGGUCUUCGGAUUGUAAAGCUCUGUCUUUUGGGACGAUAAUGACGGUACCAAAGGAGGAAGCCACGGCUAACUACGUGCCAGCAGCCGCGGUAAUACGUAGGUGGCGAGCGUUGUCCGGAUUUACUGGGCGUAAAGGGUGCGUAGGCGGAUGUUUAAGUGAGAUGUGAAAUACCCGGGCUUAACUUGGGUGCUGCAUUUCAAACUGGAUAUCUAGAGUGCAGGAGAGGAGAAUGGAAUUCCUAGUGUAGCGGUGAAAUGCGUAGAGAUUAGGAAGAACACCAGUGGCGAAGGCGAUUCUCUGGACUGUAACUGACGCUGGAGCACGAAGCGUGGGUAGCAAACAGGAUUAGA
Molecule: ribosomal RNA, 409 nt
Filed under: uncultured bacterium
Lineage: Bacteria
Description: partial 16S ribosomal RNA
Rfam family: Bacterial small subunit ribosomal RNA
Source: RNAcentral